GAUGAACGCUGGCGGCGUGCCUAAUGCAUGCAAGUCGAGCGAACAGACGAGGAGCUUGCUCCUCUGACGUUAGCGGCGGACGGGUGAGUAACACGUGGAUAACCUACCUAUAAGACUGGGAUAACUUCGGGAAACCGGAGCUAAUACCGGAUAAUAUAUUGAACCGCAUGGUUCAAUAGUGAAAGACGGUUUUGCUGUCACUUAUAGAUGGAUCCGCGCCGCAUUAGCUAGUUGGUAAGGUAACGGCUUACCAAGGCAACGAUGCGUAGCCGACCUGAGAGGGUGAUCGGCCACACUGGAACUGAGACACGGUCCAGACUCCUACGGGAGGCAGCAGUAGGGAAUCUUCCGCAAUGGGCGAAAGCCUGACGGAGCAACGCCGCGUGAGUGAUGAAGGUCUUUGGAUCGUAAAACUCUGUUAUUAGGGAAGAACAAAUGUGUAAGUAACUAUGCACGUCUUGACGGUACCUAAUCAGAAAGCCACGGCUAACUACGUG
This 497-nucleotide ribosomal RNA is filed under the name uncultured bacterium. RNAcentral's name for it is "partial 16S ribosomal RNA". It matches the Rfam family "Bacterial small subunit ribosomal RNA", at positions 28 to 507 of the family's 1533-position model. The record is from RNAcentral.